UGGCUCAGCAGGUAAAGAAUCCACCUGCAAUGCAGGAGACACAGAAGAUGCGGGCUUGAUCCCUGGGACAGAAAAAUCCCGUGGAAAAUGAAAUGGCAACCCACACCAGUAUUCUUGCCUGAAAAACCCCAGGUUCAGAAGAGCCUGGCUGGCUACAGUCCAAUGAGUUGCAAGAGUCAGAUAAGACUGAGCGACUAAGCACUCAGGAAAGAAAAUUACUCCUGGAUGUCACUGACUGUUUUGAGUCGAAGUCCAGCAAGAAUCCUCCUGCCCAUUGUCACUCACUCCAGUAAGAUAAGAUCGAGUCUGGUUCAGAAGCAAAGAAAAGUUCUAGUAUUGGCGAGGCAGGAGCUUGGUACCUGAGCACAGCCUCUCCACACAAGCCCUCCGCAGGGCUGCUCUGCGGCGCUCUUGUGGUGGCGGGAGCGGAGAGGGCCGUGGCCUUUGCCCUUGCUGCGCAGGCGCUUUGCUCUCUGCACUUCCGACGGAGGUGCCGGGCGCAGCCAUGUUGUAUUGAGGUGCGGGCAGCAACUCUUCAGCACACUGUUCGUGGACUUGGGGUGUUGGUGUGGCAGUUCUGUACCGGAAACUCUUAAGGCCUCUGCAUAUGGCUCCCUAGAGAAGUGGCAAUGGUGACAUGGUUGUGUAUGAGAGCACCCACAUUCAUGAGAGAUGCAUGGAAUGAAUGGAGAAGUUAGAGGUGAACUGACAUGAAGUCUGGAGUGUGUUUUCAGGUGAUUUGGCCAAAGGUACCCAGCCCUCCGUAGACGUUCUCUCCGUGGCAAGCACAGAGGAGAAGAUAACAGGGAAGCUUGUGUCACCUGCAAAUUCCUAGUUUGCAUCGUGCAACUGUUAUGCCAGUCUGGAGCUUCUUUGGCAUGGUGUUUCUUAAAGUGUGACCUAGGAACGCCUUGUGAGCCUGAUUAAUACUGGGUCUGCCCCAUACCUGCUGGAACUCUGGAGGUGGGACCUAAGAAUUGGGAUCUUAGCAAGCUAUCUGGGAUUCUUUUGCACACUCAGCCUUGCUCUAGCACUUACUCCACGGUUAUCACCAACAAAUUCAUCCCUAAUAGGCAUUUAGUAUGAACAUUACUUAGCACUUAGCAGGCUACAUUAGAAUUUACACAACACAUCCAGGGAGAAAAUGCUCCCUGGCGAGGAAGCUGUUUCAUCCACUGCUAUUCCACCAAACUUGUAGUUUGGCCUCUGACACAGACCUCUGACUCAAAUGCAUUUAAUUCCUAAAAGAAUCACAGCUUCCUUCUCUCCCUUUCUCUACCCACUCUCGUUCUCCCACACGAUUAUUCAGAACGUUGUUUUUCGUGUUUAAAUAGAACAGCAGCUUUCAGAGUGACUUCUUUACACGGGGUUAAGAUUUUACAUUAACUAGGAUGAAGGCGUAUUCACCUAACACUAUCCACUGCAAUGAAAAAAACUAGUGCCUAGCGGAAAUAAGGAGGAAUUCAGCUCUGAUGAGUGUUGAGGAAUGGACAGACAGAAAGCAUAUAUA
This is a long non-coding RNA of Bos taurus (domestic cattle), 1510 nucleotides long. NCBI's taxonomy places the organism in Eukaryota, Metazoa, Chordata, Mammalia, Artiodactyla, Bovidae. The record is from Ensembl.